Molecule: transfer RNA, 360 nt
Filed under: uncultured Microcystis sp.
Lineage: Bacteria; Bacillati; Cyanobacteriota; Cyanophyceae; Chroococcales; Microcystaceae
Description: partial 16S-23S ribosomal RNA intergenic spacer
Rfam family: tRNA (bases 136-209)
Source: RNAcentral
AAAGGGAGACCUAAUUCCGGUAGGAGACGAAAAAAAAGUAGUCCCAACCAAGAAUCAAUCCCAAAAGGUCGAAGCGAGGCAAGAUUGGCUUUCAAACUAGGUUCUGGGUUCAAACAAGACCUGAAUCAGGAACAAGGGCUAUUAGCUCAGGUGGUUAGAGCGCACCCCUGAUAAGGGUGAGGUCCCUGGUUCGAGUCCAGGAUGGCCCACCUGCACAGGUGGCAAAAACAAAGAAGCGAGGAAUCAGCACCUUAUCUUACUGACAUAGUAAGAGAGAAUGCUGGCUCUGAGUAAAGAGUCCAGAGGAACCUUGAAAACUGCAUAGAGCUAGGUGAAAAAGCCAAAAAAGAAGACCGCAAG